GUCGUGAGGUGGGGAGCAGCCCCCCGGGGACGGGGGGGGAUGCUGGGGGGGGCACGGCCACCCUGGCUGGAGAAGUCAGGGGGCACCGUGACCCUUGCAGAGCUGGGGGUCCCGUGGGGCUGCCCCUGCGCAAGGGCUGGGGUCAGGUUGACCCACGGAGGGACCAUGAGGGUGGCAGAGGGGUGAACACCCCCCAGUCCCCUCAGCACCCAGCCCUGGACUGGCAGCUGGGCCUGACCCCCGCGAUGGCCUGGGGGGCUGCGUCCCCUCGGGGUGGCUGGGCCCAUGUUCAUUCAGUGCAUCCAUGUGGKUGCMCCCRUSUCCRUGYSSSYGYSYCCSUSUSSGUGYMYCCAUGUCCGUGUCCCCGUGUCCAUGCCCCUGUGUCCAUGCCCCCAUGUCCGUGUUGGUGCACCCAUGUCCAUGCCCCCAUGUCCAUGUGGGUGCAUCUGUGUCCAUAUCAUGUCCCGGUGUUCCCGGCCCGGCUCUGGUCGGAGCCAGCACCAUCUCCCCCCACCCAGGCUCUCGUCUCRCUGUUUCUGGCCGGCUCUGGACGACCCCGCUUGGGAGGAGGGUGCUGGGGUCCCCUUCGGGGCCAGAGAUGCAGCAGUGCUUUUCCCGGCACCGCCUGUGGAUGAACAGCCCCUUGAGGAAGAUCCAGCAGAAGUUCUUCCUGUUGGCACCUCUGGGCCCGUUCUUGAACCUGGGGAGAAACGUCACCUUUUCCAGCAGCUGCAGCUCGUGCCGCUCUGCCCCAGGACAAGCCUGCACCGCUGUGUCAUGUCCUGGGGCUCCUGGUGACCCUGGACAUCUCCAGGACCCCCAGAGCUGCUGGUCUCCAACUCCCGGUGGGAGCCCCAGCCUCAGGAGGGGACAGGCAGGAGCACGUGGCCCGGGGGGGUUGUGGCCCCUGGGAGCGGGGUGGGAGCCUCCGCAGGUGGCAGAGGAAGCCCCUUACCAUGCAGCCAGCACCAGGGCUUGCGGGUGACGUUGUAGGACAGGCCCAGCCAGUGGGGCAGGGACAACCGGAGCGGCAGGUCGGCGAUCUCCCCAUGCCGCCGCAUCCGUAUUUUGAUGAACUCCAGCGGGAGGGAGGUGGGCGGUGAGCGGGGACCCCCACACCCCCCCCCAGCACCCCUCCGCAGCCCUGCCAGGCAGGGUGCCACRAGGCCGCAGUGCAGGAGUCCUGCUGCGGUGGCCCCGUGGGACCGACCAAGGCACCCACGUCCCCUUUGGGCUCCUAGACGUCUUUUCCCCAGCGCCGAGUCCUUGAGCUUGGYGUUCUGCGCACGCAGCGUCGCCGCCCGCUUCCUCGGGACCAAGGGGGUGAAGAAAUCUGAAAGGCACGGGGCGGGGGGGACGGGGACGCAGCGGGCUGCCACCCCUCGAGGCCGAGGUGGGGCUGAGCCCCGUGGGGGGCAGCCCCACGGCUUGUGCCCCCCACCCUGCUGGUGGGAG
Molecule: long non-coding RNA, 1455 nt
Filed under: Dromaius novaehollandiae (emu)
Lineage: Eukaryota; Metazoa; Chordata; Aves; Casuariiformes; Dromaiidae
Description: lncRNA (ENSDNVG00000006982.1)
Source: RNAcentral